Passer domesticus (house sparrow) is the source of this 346-nucleotide long non-coding RNA. RefSeq lists it as uncharacterized. The record is from RefSeq and is a predicted model, not a curated record. Lineage: Eukaryota; Metazoa; Chordata; Aves; Passeriformes; Passeridae. The transcript is spliced from 3 exons.
GGCAACGGAAACCACAAGGAAAGGGCUCCCACAGCAGGCAGGGAAAGGGAGAAGGGACAUUUUUAACUCUUUGGGUGGUGGAGCUGAGGCAGGAUUUGAGCAGGGGAAGGAAAGGAGGCAAAGCCACUUGGAUUUCCUGCCUGAUUACUGGGAAACCUGGAGAAACCACUGAGUUUUCCUGGGUACAUCUUUAUACGUGAUAGCCCCCUCGUGCCCAGCCCCUGCCAAAGAAACACUGUGGCUCACGCACAAGGCAAAAUUCUUUGUUUGAAGGGCUGAUAAGGGGAGGAAGGAGCGGAGCCAAGAGCAAGAAGCAAUUCCCAGCCACAGAACGGGGUUUGGUCGU